AGAGUUGUAGUCCUGGCUAGGACGAACGCUGGCGGCGUGCCUAACACAUGCAAGUCGAGCGAGGAGAUCCUUCGGGAUGAUCCUAGCGGCGGACGGGUGAGUAACACGUGGGCAACCUGCCUCAUAGAGAGGAAUAGCCUUCCGAAAGGGAGAUUAAUACCUCAUAACAUUGCAGUUUCGCAUGGAACAGCAAUUAAAGGAGCAAUCCGCUAUGAGAUGGGCCCGCGGCGCAUUAGCUAGUUGGUGAGGUAACGGCUCACCAAGGCGACGAUGCGUAGCCGACCUGAGAGGGUGAUCGGCCACAUUGGGACUGAGACACGGCCCAGACUCCUACGGGAGGCAGCAGUGGGGAAUAUUGCACAAUGGGGGAAACCCUGAUGCAGCCAACGCCGCGUGAGUGAUGACGGCCUUCGGGUUGUAAAGCUCUGUCUUCAGGGACGAUAAUGACGGUACCUGAGGAGGAAGCCACGGCUAACUACGUGCCAGCAGCAGC
RNAcentral lists this ribosomal RNA (493 nucleotides) under uncultured bacterium. RNAcentral describes it as "bacterial SSU rRNA". It matches the Rfam family "Bacterial small subunit ribosomal RNA", at positions 1 to 518 of the family's 1533-position model. The record is from RNAcentral.